ACGGCUACAUCAGUUCCCAUACGAUCACCGAAGUUAAGCAACGUCCAGCUUGGUUAGCACCUUGAUGGGUGACCGCUUGCGAAUGUCGGGUGCUGCUG
Non-coding RNA from Acanthosepion pharaonis, 98 nucleotides. The record is from the annotation of a GenBank genome assembly. NCBI's taxonomy places the organism in Eukaryota, Metazoa, Mollusca, Cephalopoda, Sepiida, Sepiidae.